RNAcentral lists this unclassified non-coding RNA (798 nucleotides) under Hevea brasiliensis (rubber tree). Lineage: Eukaryota; Viridiplantae; Streptophyta; Magnoliopsida; Malpighiales; Euphorbiaceae. The record is from RNAcentral.
GAUGGGUUGGGACCAGAAAGUGUGGGAGGAGCCAAUGGCUUUCUAGCCUGAAAGGUUUCUCAACAGUGGAGGAGAAGCUUUUGGCAUUACAGCAGAAGUAGAGAAAUCAAGAUGAUGCCUUUGGGGUUGGGUGGAGAAUUUGUACGGUUUAUGUUUUAGCUAAUUUGAUUUGGAAUUUCGAGUGGAGGCUAUGGAUGGAGAGGGCGUUGAUCUAUCGGAGAAGCUAGAAUUUACUUUGAUGAUGAAGAAUCAAUUUCAGGCCCAGAUAUCUCCAAGGUUGAAAUAAAUGAUCAGGUCAUUUUGUUUUCUAUAUGUUACAUGGUAUGAAUGAACUUCAUAUGUGAAUGGAAAUUGAAAGUCUUCCACCACUUGAAAACAGCCUGAACUUAGAGCUUCUGAAUUUCUCACAUUGCUUGGAAGAUUAUUUCGAUCUGAAUGAUUUUUGUUUUGAUCAGAUUCAGCUUCUGAAUUAGUUUAAAUAUAUAAAGAAAACAAACUAAAAUCGAUUAUUCACUAUUUUUAAUUGCAAUAAUCUAAUUUUUUUUUAAGUUAAUGCAUACAACAUACAUAGCUUGUCUGUGAAGCAGCAUCUCCUGCUGCCCAAGAACUUUUCAAGUGAUACAGACUGAAAUCUAAAAAAAUAGAGAUGAAGCUUUAUUUGAAUCUGGGAGUUAUGAGGGCCUGUAAUGGAUUCUUCAUUACCAUUGUAAACUGUAGCUUCUCAGACAAGUCAACAUCAUCUCCAUCCAUAGCCUUCCACUCAAAUUUCCAAAUCAAAUUAGCCACAAAAUACUCCAA